This 533-nucleotide small RNA is filed under the name Pan troglodytes (chimpanzee). RNAcentral's name for it is "processed transcript". Lineage: Eukaryota; Metazoa; Chordata; Mammalia; Primates; Hominidae. The record is from RNAcentral.
GAGGGAGCGUUUCUGACGUUAGGUCAAGGGCGGUGUUCCUGUGUUCUUAGGGCCCCAGGAGGCGAGUCUGAGUGGAACCUGGCUGGGGUAGGCUGAAAGGUGAUUUCGACGCUCUUCUGAGGCCUCAGACGUGUGUGAUGACUGCCCUGUAGAAUCAGUGCUGUGACCCCGAGUAACAACGCGCGCUUGAGUUGGUAUAAACUCCUGAAGAGUGUAGUCCUGCAAUUGACAAGAAAAAGUUAAGUGUAAAAUAGCCUCAGGCAUGUCCUUCAGGAGGGGAUUCCAGAGGCAUUGUUAUAGACGAUGACAGCUCUGUGUGUGUUAUUGCCACUGAAGACCUUCCAUGGGACGCGAUGUGGAGCUGGAAGUCAGUGAUAUCGAUGAUCCUGACACAGUCCUAGGAUAAGAAAUCCAAAAUGGAACGAUCCAAAAACUCCUCGAAAUAGUGUUUCUGUUUCCCCCUCCAAGGCUACAGGUGCAUAAUUUCAUACACAUAACCAGAAGGAAGUAUGGAUCUUUAACUUUAUUAGCAG